GAUAAGAAUGAGGAGGGACUGACUGAUCAAAGAUAGAGACAGAGAAGAGGACGACUCAGAGAAGAGAUGAGCAGAGCAUUGGACUGGACAUGGAGCACAGACUGAUGAUCAUCUGUAUGUCCUUCUGGAUGCAAGGGCUCCUGUCUGAAAACAACAGCACUUCAACAGAGUCGGUCCACUUCAGGUGGGUGGGAGGAGCCAGUCGUUGUCAUGGUGACCUGGAGAUGAAACGACAGGAUGGAAACUGGAAACCAGUGGAAGGGUUAUACUGGUACAGGAAGUUAGGAAACAGAGUUUGUGCAGAACUGGACUGUGGAUCUGCAGUUUCACUGAGAGGCAGAGACACUAGUUCAGAAAUAGAUAAUUGGUCGAUCAGAUCAGACUGUGAUGAAUCUGAACUGAGGGACUGUUUCACAUCUGAUUCAUUUCUUGAUUCACCCCUGGAGCUGACUUGUUCAGGUAAGAGCAUGAACACUGAACCCUAACCCUUCCACUGUCACUGUGGGCUCCAGACUCUGUGGACUCUCAGAUCCGGGUCGGUCCAAGACUUCAACUCACAUUUAAUGUGAACUCACACAAACUGAUCAAUA
This 590-nucleotide long non-coding RNA is filed under the name Sphaeramia orbicularis (orbiculate cardinalfish). Its description in RNAcentral is "lncRNA (ENSSORG00005002594.1)". The record is from RNAcentral. Lineage: Eukaryota; Metazoa; Chordata; Actinopteri; Kurtiformes; Apogonidae.